This is a non-coding RNA of Acanthosepion pharaonis, 95 nucleotides long. Lineage: Eukaryota; Metazoa; Mollusca; Cephalopoda; Sepiida; Sepiidae. The record is from the annotation of a GenBank genome assembly.
UAAAACACCGGUUCCCGUAUGAUCACCGAAAUUAAGCAACGUUGAGUAUGGUCAGUAUCUAGAUGGGGGACCGCUUGGGAAUACCAGAUGCCGUU